AAAAUACGCGAUAAACCAAAAAAUAAUCUUUAUUUAAAAUUCCAAUAAUACCAAAUCAUUAACUAGCGAUCGUCGAUCUAUGUGUAAUGUCAACAAAAAUAAACUCUUGAUUUGACUUUGAACGAUUAUGUUAUCAUCGAGCCCAGUUAGUUCUCCUUUGUAUCUCGACGAGUUAACAUCGAAGCACGUUCUCUUCUUCCAGGACGUACAACAACUACGUAAAGACACCAAUGGAAUGAUACACCAGACUAAAGAGAAAUCGAUUAUUGCAUGGGAUAAAUAAAAAGGACAAAAGAAUCGUCAUGAAGAAUUAGGAUUGUUUUAGCCACACAUGGAAAUUUCAACUGGAAUAAGAAAUUCAUUUCUAGUUUCUUAUUCUCUUCAUCAUCUUAAGGAAGAAUAUCGUGGACCAACAGCAAAGACUUAAGAUAUGUAUAUUUUCCUAUAUUAUAUAAUAUGUAUAUUUUCACAUAUUUUCAAUAGUUUCUUCAUUAUAUCGAUUAUAUUUUUUUCUUUUUCUUUUCUUUUAUUUUUAUUUUUGUUUUAGAACAUUUCGAUGUCGAUCUAUUUUAUUUUCAAUCAGUUAUCUUUAAAUCAUUCAUCCUCAAUUUUGAUCUAAAUCGUGGACGAGUGUUUUGGAGCUUUUAGAAAAAAAAUUCACUUACUAUUUAAGUCCCUUCGAUCGCUCGAUCAUGUCGUGGAUGAAAGAUACGAAUGAUUGAUUGUUUAUUUAAUUAAUAGAAGAGCAUUCUGUGACCAUCAGUAAGUUUCCACGAAGAUUUAUUCGUGAAUGGUUUCUUGUGUUUUCUUUUUUUUUUUUUUUUUUUAAU
Molecule: long non-coding RNA, 830 nt
Organism: Vespa mandarinia (Asian giant hornet)
Lineage: Eukaryota; Metazoa; Arthropoda; Insecta; Hymenoptera; Vespidae
Source: RefSeq, a predicted model, not a curated record